GGCCCGUUAGCUCAGUUGGUUAGAGCGUCGUGCUAACAACGCGAAGGUCGUGGGUUCGAUCCCCCCACGGGCCA
This 74-nucleotide transfer RNA is filed under the name Schistocerca americana (American grasshopper). RNAcentral describes it as "tRNA-Val". It matches the Rfam family "tRNA". Rfam says of the family: Transfer RNA (tRNA) molecules are approximately 80 nucleotides in length. Their secondary structure includes four short double-helical elements and three loops (D, anti-codon, and T loops). Further hydrogen bonds mediate the characteristic L-shaped molecular structure. tRNAs have two regions of fundamental functional importance: the anti-codon, which is responsible for specific mRNA codon recognition, and the 3' end, to which the tRNAs corresponding amino acid is attached (by aminoacyl-tRNA synthetases). tRNAs cope with the degeneracy of the genetic code in two manners: having more than one tRNA (with a specific anti-codon) for a particular amino acid; and 'wobble' base-pairing, i.e. permitting non-standard base-pairing at the 3rd anti-codon position. Lineage: Eukaryota; Metazoa; Arthropoda; Insecta; Orthoptera; Acrididae. The record is from RNAcentral. RNAcentral also lists the same sequence under 2 other names.